AAAUUGAAGAGUUUGAUCAUGGCUCAGAUUGAACGCUGGCGGCAGGCCUAACACAUGCAAGUCGAGCGGAAACGAGUUGUCUGAACCUUCGGGAAACGAUAACGGCGUCGAGCGGCGGACGGGUGAGUAAUGCCUAGGAAAUUGCCCUGAUGUGGGGGAUAACCAUUGGAAACGAUGGCUAAUACCGCAUGAUGCCUACGGGCCAAAGAGGGGGACCUGCGG
Molecule: ribosomal RNA, 222 nt
Filed under: Vibrio parahaemolyticus
Lineage: Bacteria; Pseudomonadati; Pseudomonadota; Gammaproteobacteria; Vibrionales; Vibrionaceae
Description: partial 16S ribosomal RNA
Rfam family: Bacterial small subunit ribosomal RNA
Source: RNAcentral